This 524-nucleotide ribosomal RNA is filed under the name uncultured bacterium. RNAcentral's name for it is "partial 16S ribosomal RNA". It matches the Rfam family "Bacterial small subunit ribosomal RNA", at positions 28 to 523 of the family's 1533-position model. The record is from RNAcentral.
GACGAACGCUGGCGGCGUGCCUAAUACAUGCAAGUCGAGCGCAGGAAGCUGACGGAACUCUUCGGAGGGAAGGCAGCGGAAUGAGCGGCGGACGGGUGAGUAACACGUAAGGAACCUGCCUCAAGGAUUGGGAUAACUCCGAGAAAUCGGAGCUAAUACCGGAUAGUUCAACGGACCGCAUGGUCCGCUGAUGAAAGGCGCUCCGGCGUCACCUUGAGAUGGCCUUGCGGUGCAUUAGCUAGUUGGUGGGGUAACGGCCCACCAAGGCGACGAUGCAUAGCCGACCUGAGAGGGUGAUCGGCCACACUGGGACUGAGACACGGCCCAGACUCCUACGGGAGGCAGCAGUAGGGAAUCUUCCACAAUGGACGAAAGUCUGAUGGAGCAACGCCGCGUGAGUGAUGAAGGUUUUCGGAUCGUAAAACUCUAUUGUAAGGGAAGAACACGUACGAGAGGAAAUGCUCGUACCUUGACGGUACCUUACGAGAAAGCCACGGCUAACUACGUGCCAGCAGCCGCCGUAA